AAAGGCUGAAGAAGCAGAAG
This 20-nucleotide non-coding RNA is filed under the name Arabidopsis thaliana (thale cress). Lineage: Eukaryota; Viridiplantae; Streptophyta; Magnoliopsida; Brassicales; Brassicaceae. The record is from RNAcentral.